GGAGGAAUGUCCCGAGCGGCAAAGGGGGUGGACUGUAAAUCCACUGGCUAAGCCUUCGUAGGUUCGAGUCCUACUUCCUCCACCA
This 85-nucleotide transfer RNA is filed under the name Ancalomicrobiaceae bacterium. RNAcentral's name for it is "tRNA-Tyr". It matches the Rfam family "tRNA". From Rfam's summary of the family: Transfer RNA (tRNA) molecules are approximately 80 nucleotides in length. Their secondary structure includes four short double-helical elements and three loops (D, anti-codon, and T loops). Further hydrogen bonds mediate the characteristic L-shaped molecular structure. tRNAs have two regions of fundamental functional importance: the anti-codon, which is responsible for specific mRNA codon recognition, and the 3' end, to which the tRNAs corresponding amino acid is attached (by aminoacyl-tRNA synthetases). tRNAs cope with the degeneracy of the genetic code in two manners: having more than one tRNA (with a specific anti-codon) for a particular amino acid; and 'wobble' base-pairing, i.e. permitting non-standard base-pairing at the 3rd anti-codon position. Lineage: Bacteria; Pseudomonadati; Pseudomonadota; Alphaproteobacteria; Hyphomicrobiales; Ancalomicrobiaceae. The record is from RNAcentral.